GACGAACGCUGGCGGCGUGCUUAACACAUGCAAGUCGAGCGGAAAGGCCCUUUCGGGGGUACUCGAGCGGCGAACGGGUGAGUAACACGUGAGUAAUCUGCCCUUCACUUGGGGAUAACCUCCGGAAACGGUGGCUAAUACCCGAUACGACCAUUCCUCGCAUGAGGUGGUGGUGGAAAGUUUUUCGGUGGGGGAUGUGCUCGCGGCCUAUCAGCUUGUUGGUGGGGUAAUGGCCUACCAAGGCUUCGACGGGUAGCCGGCCUGAGAGGGUGACCGGCCACACUGGGACUGAGACACGGCCCAGACUCCUACGGGAGGCAGCAGUGGGGUAUAUUGGACAAUGGGCGGAAGCCUGAUCCAGCAACGCCGCGUGAGGGAUGACGGCCUUCGGGUUGUAAACCUCUUUCACCUGUGACGAAGCGAAAGUGACGGUAGCAGGAGAAGAAGCACCGGCCAACUACGUG
This 464-nucleotide ribosomal RNA is filed under the name uncultured bacterium. RNAcentral's name for it is "partial 16S ribosomal RNA". It matches the Rfam family "Bacterial small subunit ribosomal RNA", at positions 28 to 507 of the family's 1533-position model. The record is from RNAcentral.